AGCACACGUGGAGUUCUGGGUGGGGCGCUGGGCAGAGGGACUCGGCUUCUAGGGCUCUGAGCCAGGCCGAGGGACAGACUGCUGGGAAGUCCCCAAAAGGGCAGCAGCACUGAGGGGCAGGAUUCCAGGGUCCUGGAGGCGGAAGCUCGGCCGACUGACUCCCAGUUCGAGAGAACGGGGCGGGGGCAGCCCACCAGUGCUGGAACCCGAGGGGCCGGGCGAGGAACGCUGGACUGGGAGCAGGACCCUUCUCGCCUCGGACAAGACUCCUUGUCUGGGGACCCAGCCCGACUUCAUUGUAGCUGGGUCCUCGAGAAAGCGAAAGGAGCCCUCCUUCCCCAUUGGCCUCUCCAUCGCUGCAUCCCAAGAAGAAAGACAACUCGGGCUCCACUUGCUUGCUUUUUAAUAACAGAGCAGAGAGAAUACAAGGCCAGGAGCGGGGCCUGGAGGAAAACAGGACUUGGGGUGCUCCUGUGAGAGCGACGCUGCCAACUCCAUCCCCCAGGGAUUGUGAAGGGGGUUCCUUCUGGCUGUGACAGUGCUGAACGAGGCCAGAGAGUGCAGCUGCCUGGAGGCACAAGCCUCCUCCUGAUCCAGGGGGCUCCAGGGAGACCAAAGCAGCUGUCAAGAUGAGAGAAAUUGAAAAAGAAAAUGGAAAACUCUCCAGCCUGGCUCUCAGCUUCUGCAUCUCCAUGCAAGACCAGAGACCCACAUCACUCCCUCACUCCACCCAGUUCCACUCCAACAAUACCUGGGCCCUGCCAGGAGUGAGAAAACGGUCCUCUUCCUGUGGAUAGGUUGCUCUCUCCUCUUCCAGAUCAGGGUAUUCAUUGGUGCUGGGGAAUCCACAGCCCUCUUCGCCAAGCACCACUGGCUCAGAUGCAGCCCCAGAGCUGCCCCACUGGGCCUUCUUCAGUCUGUGGAGACUUUAGGCUGAGGAGAGAAGUGCCUGGAGGCCAGGCUUCCUGUCUCUCCAUUCUUCACCUUUCUGUUCUGAAAUACUUCCUGCUGGGACUCCAGGGAGUUGUCAUUUGACCUUUAACCCUCCACUCCCAAUUUUCUGCUCCCCUCAGACUGAAGCAUAUUGUCUAGGAACCCAGAGGUGACCCCAACCUCCCCACUGUCCUCCAGUUCUAUGGUUUGCUUUCCUGUCUUCAGUGAUCUAGUUUCCACUCCUUCCAGCUCAUGUGGCUCAUCCUCCUUACUGCAGUUCCCUCCUUCUUUCCAUAUUACAGAAAUCUGUUUCAAUCACACCAAAGCCCACAGCUUCCUUCCAAGCAACCUCCCCUCAAAGCUCCCCUCAAACCUCCCCUCAAAGCUGUCAACCCCUUCCUUAGCUCAAACUGUUCUGCCCCCAAAUCCUGCAUGACUCCCAGAACCCAGAUGUCUCCCUUCCUUACUCGUUGAUGAUGCUCUGACGCCUUCUUAGGUCCUCCAGGUGGUAAGUGACAGCCCUCACCCGGGCGGGGACUCCCCCAAGGCCCUGCUGCUGCAUUCCUUCCAAACAUGGCCUCCUCUUCUUUCUUCUCCAAAGCAUUUCAGGGGGUGGGAGCUGCUCAGGAGGAUACAGACCAAGCUGGGAGCAACCAGUGGCUCUCUGUGCCAGAGAAUGGGGAAAAAGAGCUAGAAAGAAGAACUGGCUCUCUCAAGGGAGCUUGGAUUGAACUAGGUAGGGAGUCUGGGGUCUUGGGAAGACCCCUGUGAUCUCGAAAACAUGAUGACUGAUUCAUAGAAAGGAAGGCCUGGUCAGUGCACUGGUUGGGGAAUAACAGAGGGAAGCGGUAAUAAGGAGAGCUUGGGACAGGACAGCAGUGGGUGCAAUUUUAACAGAGAAAUGUUAAACGGCAGAGGGUCUGUCUUACCAGCAUGGGUGGAAUGUGCUGCUCCUCCAGCCAAGUGGGGCUGUGAAGAACAAAAA
This 1918-nucleotide long non-coding RNA is filed under the name Homo sapiens (human). RNAcentral's name for it is "CAMTA2 antisense RNA 1 (CAMTA2-AS1)". The record is from RNAcentral. Lineage: Eukaryota; Metazoa; Chordata; Mammalia; Primates; Hominidae.